Molecule: long non-coding RNA, 634 nt
Organism: Homo sapiens (human)
Lineage: Eukaryota; Metazoa; Chordata; Mammalia; Primates; Hominidae
Gene: SNRPF-DT
Product: SNRPF divergent transcript
Source: Ensembl
GCGCCUUGCAGGCGGCGCGCGGACCUUGGGAAACCGGCUCUGAGCAUCGCUGUGAGGCAGCCAAGGACUGGAGGAAAAGAGGAAGACAGUAACUUGACAGUGGAGAAACCUGGAAGCCAUUGCCUUAACCGAGUCAUGAAGAAUAACAACACCCGUCCUGGAGGCAGAAAAACCAUCUUGUGCCCAUGAGGGAGAACACCAAACAAAUCUGGAUGACUUCCUUGAGUAGCUGCAUUUAUAUUGGACUGUCUACCUCCUGACUUCUUGUCUUGUGAUGCUACAUGAAUUGCUGUCCACACCUUCUGCUACUUUCCUCUGUUGGCCAGAAGAAUAAUUUUAAUGUCGCCCAAAUGGAUUAUGCUGACCUCAACCCAGAUCCCCCUGGGAGAUAUAAACUUCUUAUAUGUUCCUGGCUGGGUCAUUGUAAAUAAUAUCUACAUGUAUCCCAAAGCUCUGAAUUAUCCUCAUCUGUAACAGACACAACGACUAAAUGGUAUCUGGAACGUAGUUAAUUUUCUGGAAAAUAUUCAAAGGAACAAAAUGAGCACUGCAAUACAAAAUUGCUGUCGACUUAACUUUUGCCAGUUUCCCUGGAUGUGUAAGUAGAAUUAUAUUUUCACAGAACUUGCAAAAA